CGCAAACAGAAACAUUACAAAAGAUAGAACCUAGAACAAGAGGUACUAUUCCACUUGCAGUCAUAGGAUAAAACGAGAGCAAGACAAGUUAAGAGCCAGAAAUGAGGAAAGAAUUCAUGAUCAGGUUUCCCUGUAAGUAAAUCUUCAAUGGACAUUACAUAUCAAGACAGAAUCUUAAGCAACUGCAGGCUAUGAGGUCAUCUUUCUAAGCAGCCAAAAGGUAGGAUGUUAAUUGGCCAAGCACCACUUCUGGACCUUAGCCUCACCUAAGCCCUUCCACAAACGAUAACAAUUAAAAACAAAAGCACUUCCACACAAACCACAUACUCAUGCUGAAAACGUAAAUAAUUGGAAACCAGUAUCACAAUUUUCACAAUUCAUCCAUACUAUAUAUAAGCAUUUCACCCGGUGAUAAGUGUAAACAAGCCUGAAUAGAAGAAGUCAAUGGCUGAUGGCCAUGAUAUCUCCCAUUCAGUUGGCACGGCUUUUAAACACGUCAAGUCCCAUUUCAGUUGGAUCAGUCGCUUGCAAUUCGAUCUGAAUCCCGUCAAGUUCUCUCUUGAAUCUGUCCUUUGAACUGGCGUAGAUCAUCUUGCUUCUCACCCUUGCUGUGUCCGGAGACCUUGAGCAAAACACACAGAAUAUGAGAACAAGCAAAUUCAUCCCCAGCACAGGACAAUAUGCUGACAAGGGCCGUAAUUACCAUGCAAUGAAGAAUAUUCUGCUCUUCUGGCAGUUCUCCUUGGUGACGAAGUCAAAAUCAAAUACAGCAUAGCGGCACUCAUCAGCAGGGAGGCAAGCAGCGAAAUCAUCAUAGCUUUCACCUGGCUCACCAAGUUUCUCCACAAUGACUUGCUUUUGCUUCUCCUCGAUCUUGAAAACUACGAAGCGGUAGGUUCUUUUUGCCUUUAGCUCCAGGAAUUUCAGUUUGCAGUCAUCAUCGACUGCAAAUCCAGACGCUGCGUUCGCCUAACGGAAACAUAAACACAGUCAUAAGCAAUGCUUAUUUUUUCUUACUACAUAUAUACUGGAUCUGGAAGUCCAAACAUGAUAGAGGAAAAUGUAUAGGUCAUAUCAAUAAAGAAUAGGAAUCGCGCUCAAAGUUUCUCAAGGAUCUCUGCAAUGAUGGAUCACCUGCUACUUCGGUUUGUGAAUUAAGAACAUCUAUUCAAAGAUUCAAAAUCAUUCCUAGUUCAUGUCAUCAUUAAUAAAAGCAGUGUAUGCAAACUAAAAGAAAUCUUUAUCAAAGCAAAUUAUGCGAAAUGCAAAACCAACACUGGACUCAGUCAGCGAUCUAGCUAACAAAAGGACAGGAAAGCCAUCUGGAAUCAUAGAUCACAUCAACCAUAGCUAACACAAUCGGAAAGCAUACAACCAGAUACAGAGAAGAUAAAUCAAGUUCUAUAGACGAUCAGCAAAAACCUCCCUCCACUGCUCCACAUAAUCGAAACAUCGAAUCUGACAACGAAGAAGAUCACAUCGGAUCUGCUGCACAGUACAUAAACACGGGGAGAACAACUGCAGGACGAGAACCAUACGCUAACGGUGGAUAUACACAGAGAAUUCGAGUUCAUGACGACGAGAUCGGAGCACAGAUCGGGCAAUAAUUGUUACCUAACAGAAGCAACUAAUCCCAGUAUCCCAGACGUAUGAUAAACCAGAAGAAAACGGAUAAGUAAAGCAUAAGGAACCCUAGGAAAUAGCAGAGCUGAAAUAUGAGAAGAGAAAACGUUGUUCAGCUGAAAAAAUCUCACCAUUUGGUCCGAGUUUUCUCAGUGGAGCUCAACAGCGGAAGAAAAGGAGGAGAUCGGAUAUAUCGGGAGAGGAGAGAAUUAGAUAGAGAGAGAGAGAGGCUCCUCCGAUAGCAAAGGGUGUGCUGGAGGAGAGCGGGCUGGCUUCUAUUAAUUAGGUGGGCUUUCAGUCGUAGUCGACAUGCCUCCGGGCCCAGCCAUUCUUCAUAUUGUAAGGGAAUUGGCCAUAAAUGGAAAAUGCAUUCUUUUUUAAUCAGAAAAUGAUAGUAAUUUGGUACAGUGUUCACUAUAAUUAUUAAUGUUUUUUAUUACAAAUCUCAAGCUAUCUGUUCAAUGAUCCACGAAAAUUAAUCAUUUUGUAAAUAUGAAAGGAGUCUAUGUUCCAUUUGAGUUAAGUAUGUAUGACAUGAGGGGUUGUGGUAAAGCUCGUGUAAGAGUCCUAUGAUUGAUCGUUUAGCGUUGAUCGUUUAUGAGUUGAUUGUUUAGUUUAAAUGAUCAUGGAUGGUGCUUAGAAGACACCAAAGCGAUCGAAGCUUAGAAGUCUGACAAUUCUAGUCCAGCGUAGGUAGGUCAUUGCUCAAGCAGAUACAUGGGAAUAUCUCAACGGGCCGUCUCAACUCGAUUAUCACGAUCAACGUGAUUAUAUUAACCGCUAAAAUAAAGGUCCACUGUACAACACCAAACUAUAAAUAUUGUCACGCUCUCACUAUAAAAGGUGAAAUGCCAUAAUUGCAGAGAAAAUAUUCAUUGAAUUUGUAUUUUUGUUCAUUACAUUUUUCUCUCUCGAAAACCCAAACUCACUAUCCUAUCAAAACUUUUAUCUUAUUUGUGAAAAAAAUCCAUGUAAAUAUUGAACCAAACAAUACAAUUCAAGUGGAAUAAUCACAUACUCGAAAUCUCUAUUAUCCCCUCACAUGACAGGGUUGAUCACAUAGCUAAAACAUAUAUAUUAUUUAUAAGGAAAAAAAGAACUUUAUAUAUAAUGAUUAUUCAUUGUUGGUGAAGCACAAGGAAUUCCUUGGUACAGAAUCAUGUCUAGUGGGUCCAUAGAGACUAUCCCUCCAUCAUGGACCAUUCCUUUGCAGCGUUGAUACAACGCCAACAUUCUUUUUAUCGUUUCUCUUAUCAAUGUAAAGCGUUUGAUACAUUUUGGUACUAGAAAAUAUUCUUUGUUUUUUUUUUUAUAUAAAUGGGUAAUAGAAAAUAUUGAGCCACGACUCCAAGUUGCCGAAUCUAUACCAACAGUGAUGAAAGUGAUUAUCCAAACGGGAAGAAUUGAGAUAGCAACAAUAAACAAAAAUUACGUAUAUUUCCAUGUCGAAAGCUUCACAUCCUCAAUAUGAUUUGAACAAUGUAAAGAGUUUUUUUUUGUCACUAAAUAAACAGCUAAAUUGACAUUUUGUCUAACAUAUUUACCUCCAUAUCCUCUUUGCGUAGUCUUCGUAGCCUUUAUUAAUCUUUGUAUGCUUACGUAAAUGGUGGGAGCAAUCGAUUAAGAGGUGUUCACAUCCACAACGAGAGUGGCGGUGAUGGCUUGAAAGAAAUCUAAAAUAUCUGAACCUAUUUGGAUAUUGCCAUUAGCGGCGUAACUGUGUCAAAGAGAACUUGUCAUUUCCCGACAUUAGAUAUAAUUUGUGUGUAUAAUAAUGAUCGGAGAGGGUUGUUUACGGCCUAAGAGAGUGUCUGGUGCACGUCGUCCAGAAGGAAGUUAGCCGACCGUACGCGGUCUUUGAAGCUCCUUCCUCCUAAUCUCGAACUUAAAAGCUUCAAUUAGCAGACUGCCGGUUCCUCACCAGCAAGAAACAAUUCAUUGAAUCAGCCAUUAGAUAUAGAGUGAGAUAUCAGCAAUAAAACAAUCAAGCUGAGUCAGAAAUGAUAAAAAGAAUUCAUGAGAGACAACCAUAAGGUUUCCCCGAAAAGUAAAUCUUUAAUAUGACCAGUACAUAGCAAAUCCAGGAUCUUAGCAAAAUGCCGACCAAGACUCUACGAGGCAUCUUUCUAAGCAGCCGAAAGUAGAAUGUUAAUUAGCCAAGCACCACUUCUGAACCUUCAACUCUGUACUAAAGCCUCCACAGACCGACAACAAUGACGACACUCCACACAAACGUUUUCCACGGAUCACAAUCCAUCCGUAAACCACAUACUCAUGCUUAAAACGUAAAAAGAACUUGGAAACCAGUAUCACAAUACUAUAUAGCAUUUCACCCAGUAUUAGUGUAGACAAGCCUGAACAGAAGAAGUCAAUGGACCCAAGAUUGGCCUAUAUUCCAUGUUCAG
RNAcentral lists this long non-coding RNA (4028 nucleotides) under Linum usitatissimum (flax). Its description in RNAcentral is "long non-coding RNA (LUSI_LNC003428)". The record is from RNAcentral. Lineage: Eukaryota; Viridiplantae; Streptophyta; Magnoliopsida; Malpighiales; Linaceae.